This is a long non-coding RNA of Ornithodoros turicata, 351 nucleotides long. RefSeq lists it as uncharacterized. Lineage: Eukaryota; Metazoa; Arthropoda; Arachnida; Ixodida; Argasidae. The transcript is spliced from 3 exons. The record is from RefSeq and is a predicted model, not a curated record.
UGGCGGAUAGCCAGUCAGGAGCUAUGGGUGCGCCGUUUGUAACAGGUUUUUAUAGGGGUCCACUCUUGCAUGUGGGUUCUGCAUGAACACGGGGCUGUCCACGCAAUUGCUUCACACCUCGACGGGGCCGGGCCAUUGGAUUUAGCCGCCUGAUUCUGGUUGUGUAGUUAGUUGUGCGAAACUGUUGUGUUACGAAGAUUCUUCGGCGUGGUCUUCGACGAGUCUAUGAAUGCCACGACAUGUCUGGGACCUGCCCUGUUAAAACUAGUUUGGAACGCUUGCGCAGCAACGAAGCAGUCCUGAAGGAGACGUACUGUUGGGGACACGGUUGUUUAAAAUCUCCAGCCCGUG